AUUGAACGCUGGCGGCAUGCCUUACACAUGCAAGUCGAACGGCAGCACGGGAGCAAUCCUGGUGGCGAGUGGCGAACGGGUGAGUACUAUAUCGGAACGUGCCCAGUCGUGGGGGAUAACGUAGCGAAAGCUACGCUAAUACCGCAUACGAUCUAUGGAUGAAAGCGGGGGAUCGCAAGACCUUGCGCGAUUGGAGCGGCCGAUAUCAGAUUAGGUAGUUGGUGAGGUAAAGGCUCACCAAGCCGACGAUCUGUAGCUGGUCUGAGAGGACGACCAGCCACACUGGGAGUGAGACACGGCCCAGACUCCUACGGGAGGCAGCAGUGGGGAAUUUUGGACAAUGGGCGCAAGCCUGAUCCAGCAAUGCCGCGUGCAGGAUGAAGGCCUUCGGGUUGUAAACUGCUUUUGUACGGAACGAAACGGCGAGCUCUAAUACAGUUUGCUAAUGACGGUACCGUAAGAAUAAGCACCGGCUAACUACGUGCCAGCAGCCGCAGUAA
RNAcentral lists this ribosomal RNA (500 nucleotides) under uncultured bacterium. RNAcentral describes it as "partial 16S ribosomal RNA". It matches the Rfam family "Bacterial small subunit ribosomal RNA", at positions 30 to 523 of the family's 1533-position model. The record is from RNAcentral.